UUGGAGGGUUGUGUAGGAGACUGUGGAGCUGAGAAGGAGUGAAACAGACUGAAACAAGUGAGAGAGGGGCUGGUAGCAUUGUGACCUCCGCUGUAGAGUUUCUUGGAAAAAAAGAGGCAAUUGACUUGGUUGUGGGAUCGGAGGAAGACCAACGAACUUCAGUUCUCCUGUUGUAUGGAGUUAAAGCAAUGAGGGAUCAUAACUGGACAUUCUCGAUUGGGGAGUAAAAUACGGGUAAAAUAAUUGGGCACACUAAGUCACUAUAUAUAAAAUGGGAUAUGGCAACUCAUUGGACUGACAAGAGGAGACAAGAACAGUAGACAAAACCUGGCUACAUGAGUCCAACCAUGUUUGAUGAGCCCUUUAACAGUAAGCAGUGUCAUCUGAAGAAAAUGAAUAUCCCCCUGCAACACUCAGCCCGCCGUGAGGCCUCCAAGAGUAAAUACCACAGAGGAAUAUGUCAUUUAUUACAUCCAUUAGGGGUGGAAAUUGAUCCAGACUGCAGCCCUUCCACACAAUGGGGAGACAAAGCAUUAACCUGAAACAGAUGACCCUUCACACUGUUAAUGCUUACUGCAUCUUAAAGGCUGAUCACAAACUUGUGAAACCUGGCCCAUCAAAAAAAAUCUAUUGAACACAGACAAAAGACGCAGAGGAAAUGAAUAUUAUAUGUUUGGUUCCAUUGAUUAGAAUUGUGAAAAAGUCAGUAGGAUAAGUAAAAUGAUUGAUUAGGAUACAACAAUUGGUAAUUUGGUUAAAUAGGUAAUUGGAUACUGUGCAGUGAUUUGUUUAAAAACAUGGCUGAAAAUAACAUGUUUAUCUUGUUAGGUGCUUAUCUGGAAUUGUUAUAGUACCCCUUCCAUGCUCCAUAUACAAAUGCUGUACUACAAAUAUCAGAUAUAAUUUGUACCAUACGCAGCAGCAAAGCUGCCUUUUCCAUAUACAGUUAGAGAUCAGUAUUCAUAUUAAAUCCCAUCCAAUUCAUCAACACUGAUGUUAGGGAGAGAUACCAUUGGAUACAUGUUGGGAUAAAAGUCAAGAAAAAGAUUUUUUUCUUCAGAGAACAAUUGGCUUGAGGACAAGAAAGAAUUCGUUAGAUAAGAAGGUUGGAUCAGAAAAUCAUAUUAAUUUCUUGUGUUACUAUAAAUCUUUUUUUAUUUAUUUGUUUUGCUUC
Molecule: long non-coding RNA, 1174 nt
Organism: Polyodon spathula (Mississippi paddlefish)
Lineage: Eukaryota; Metazoa; Chordata; Actinopteri; Acipenseriformes; Polyodontidae
Exons: 4
Source: RefSeq, a predicted model, not a curated record